GAUAUCAUAAAACUCUCAGGUUCCUUUGAGUUAUAUUCAUCCAGCAAGCCAUUGUCAUAUUCAGACAUUGGUCAGCAAGCCUUGGUUUCCUCAGAUAUAAAACAACAAUGAUAAUAUCUCCCUUGAGAAGUGCUCAGCACAGGUCUUGGCUGACAGAAAAUUUUAAUGAGCUGUGGCUGUUUUUAGGGUCUAGGUGGUAAGAUGAGAAUUCUUAAGUAAGUCAAACCAGAGACAAGGGAGGCUUGGCUGGGAAGCCUGGGAGGCUCCAGUUGUAGGACAGGCAGAAAUCAAGGCAUUUGUGUCACGUAUUUUCAGGGCAAAGACUUUAGAACUCAGGUGAACUGGAGAGAGCAAGAUAGUAUAGACAUUUGAAAGGAACUGGAUGAGUGUUGAAAAUAUAAGAACAGGGACUAAGGCAUGAGAAGAAAAGGCCGGAGCUCAGUUAGAGAGCUGAGGUUCCUGGGCAGAGCAGAAUCUAAAAUCAAUCUUAUUCUGUAGUAGGUCACUGAUCCAAGGCUCCUUAAGCCUUCUCUGCUAAGAAUUGACCAAACUAAAGAGCUCCAGUGAAGAAAAUAAGGGCUGUGGGGCAAGGAUAUAGGAACAUUACUCAGUCCUAUAGUAGACCCUAGGCUUUAUUAGUCUCUCUCUGAAUUAAAAUGAGGUCCUCUUAUAGGUGAUAUUGGUCUCUAUGAUUUAAAAUAAGAGGUUAUUAUUUAAGAGAUAAUGCCUUGAUUUAUGGCACUGAUAUAACAUCCUGUUAUCUAAUCCAUACUUUCACCUACAUAGGUUGUAUUUCUUAUAGUCAUUUAAUAGAUGUGAAAACUGAGGGUAAAGAUGGUCUCCUCACUGAAUUCACCCAGGAAGCUGAAGUGCAAUGGUUACACAGCCUUUUGAUGUCCAACCCAGAGUUUUACCAUCUCUGGUAAGGACCUACAGUCAGUAAAUAUUAAAAGCAACCAGCAUGUUCUUACCAGCUUCUCUUCUCCAGAAGAAUCUUUAUCUAUUUUUAUUGGGUGCCUCGUGUACCCUCAGGAGGUUUGGUCAAGGGAGGUCAACUGUGAUUCUGAACUGGACACCAUCAGCAAAACCUAUGAAGUCAUUUAUCUUUUCCCCUUUUCUUGUGAAUCUGAGCUGUCCUGGUUGUUCGCAUUUCAUUUUUAUUCCCAUCUGUGUAUUGUUCUGUUUUUUUUUUUUCUUUUGUGGUAAAUAUUGUAAUUAUCUUCAUGAGGCAUAAUAUUACUUCUUAUGCUCAGAUGGGGUAGAUAGCUGCCAACCAGGUACAACUUGAGCAAACAGGUGAUCUGAUUCUGCCACUCUCCUACCCCUCUCACCUCUGUUGACCAGCGGGAAUGUCAAGGUCAGGUUCUACUGAGAAGGAAAUGUAAUGAAUCAUUAUUAGUCAUUAACGCAAUCUCGAAUCAGUUCAUCAAGUGAGGAAAUCACAGUGCAAUGGCCUUCUGUAUAUACACACACUUUACUGACUAAAAAUAAGCACGUCCUCCUUUUAAAAUAGCUAAGAAGUUUCUACAAGAAAAAAGGAGUCUAUUCUGAAAACCUUAGAUUAUGGCUCUGAACUUUGGCUGCAUAUUAGAAUAAUCUGGGAAAAUGUUUAAUUCCUUGUUUUCAAUCUGUACCCCAAUGAUACAUCUGAAUGCCUGCCCCCAGAUCCAGUGAUUUUUAUAAAGCUUCCUAAGUGAUUCCAUUUUAUAGCCAUAAUCAAAAGCCAUUGCUCUAGAUACUUUCCAGCAUGAAUAAAAUCAUGAACUUAAUCAUUUUCUUCUUAAGUAAAAGCUCUUUCCUCAUAAUGGAAUUUAAAGAUUGAGUUAAUUAUUUAAAACAUAGAACUAAAAUAAAUUAAUCUUUGAUCUAGGGUACACAGAGGCUGGGGAGAGAGUGAGAGAGUGCCUUUAUGGUGUGUGCCUUUAUGGAGUUCUUUAGUGAACUUGUUAACUAUGAAAAGAGAAGAGAGACCCAGAGGAGAAGAAAAAUUAAGUAUAGUGGGGUUGACAGAAAAAGAGGGUUUUCUCUGGGGAGGGAUGGAUUAGGAGUUUGGGAUUAGCAUAUAUACCCUGUGGUAUAUGGCGUGGUUGGCCAAAGGGAACCUGCUGUAUAGCGCAGGGAACUCUACCCCAUAUCCUGCGAUAAUCUAUACAGGAAAAGAAUCUGAAAAGGAAUGGAUGUGUGUAUAUGUAUAACUGAAUCAAUUUGUUGUACAGCAGAAAUUAUCACAACAUUGUAAACCAAACUAAAUAAAACCUUUUUUAAAAAAGAAAAAAUAAAGUUUCUAGAUUAAGAAAAAUUUGCACAGUAAGUUUUUAUUGAAUAUUAUUUUUCUCAUAUGACUAAGAGGCAAAAUUGACAAUGGAACGUCAAGAUUUAUAUUGUAUUUCUUAUCAAUUUUUAUUAAGUUAGAAUAAACCUACUGUAAAAUUUACUAUUUUUAGUGUUCAAUUCCACAAGUUUUGACAAAUAUAUGCAGCUGCAUAACCACAUUAUGGAACAAUUUUAUACCCUCUGCCUAUGUGUAGCCAACCCAUCAUCCCUCCCCUGGACUCUGGCCACUGAUCUGUUUUCUAUUCCUCUAAUUUCCUUUGCUGAGUGUUAUGUAAAUGAUACCAUACAGUUUCAUUUUAUUUGUAAUAGUUAUAUUUUAAUAGAAAAUAAUUGAAGGUAGAUUUUGUGCAAUAAGCUCUGAGAUGAUCAAGCAUCCUUGUCUGAAAGAGGUAACUAGCUGUCUUCCUAACCAUGAAACACUUCUUAGGGAGCUUUAGGCACUGUCAAUUACCACGGGGACCAGAAGAAGCUGAGCUGUUCAGGAAGGCAGAAGUUACCAAUGUAAACCAAAUUUAGUGAUAGGAAUAUUGAAAUCAAGGUAAAGAAACACCAGUCACAUAAUUAAUCUCAAGGAAAUAAAACACAAGACACACAAGCACAUAGAUAUUUAUUUAUGGCCCCACCCCCAGCAUAUGGAAUUUCCUGGGCCAGGGAUCAACUCUAAGCCACAGCUAUGACCUAUGCUGCAGCUAUGGCAACAGUGGACCCUAUAAACCACUGUGCUGGGGAUUAAACCCACACCUUUGCAGGGACCUGAGCUGUUGCAGUUGGAUUCUUAACCCACUGUGCCACAGUGGGAACUC
Molecule: long non-coding RNA, 3137 nt
Filed under: Sus scrofa (pig)
Lineage: Eukaryota; Metazoa; Chordata; Mammalia; Artiodactyla; Suidae
Description: lncRNA (ENSSSCG00000062520.1)
Source: RNAcentral